This 1387-nucleotide long non-coding RNA is filed under the name Triticum aestivum (bread wheat). RNAcentral describes it as "long non-coding RNA (TAES_LNC018965)". The record is from RNAcentral. Lineage: Eukaryota; Viridiplantae; Streptophyta; Magnoliopsida; Poales; Poaceae.
UUCUAGUUCGACUUUCUGUAAUCGAAUCCGAGCUUUUUCGAGUUGCUCAAUGGUCCCUCUACACAAUUCUUCUGAAUUUCGAAUAGUACUCAAGAUCCUCUGUUUUCGAUUAUCUAAUAAAUCUUUUAAUGAAAGUAGAUUAUUUUGUAAGUUUAUAACUUUUAUGAUCUCUUCCCGAACCAAACAUGAAUCUUUCGAUUCAUUUGGCUCUCACGCUCCUUUUUUUUCUAUAGCUAUUUCCAUAUCUUUUUUUUAAGUAAUGAGCCUAUCCUCUAUCUUCUUUUUUAUGUUUAUAUUUCAAUAUACCGAAACCUAUAUAAGACUAGAUAAAUAUUAAGAGGACUCUUCCGCCUAGAUAAAAAUAUAUCAUGGUCAGCAAGGUUGUUUCUUUAUUUUUAUUUGCCCUCUAGUUAAUAAUUUCAAUUUCAUUAAGAAAAACUAACUAAAUAAAUGGAAAAUGAAAAUUAAUAGAAUUCUUUUUUAUUUUUUUUCUUCAAAUCCAAAAAAUUUCUCUUUUUUAUACAUAGGUCGUCGAUUCGGCAUUGGUUAAAAAAGGGUAGGGUGCCCCCUUUUUUCUAGUAAAUAGUCCAAACCAUUUUAUCGAUAUGAGUGUUCUAUAUCAGAUAAGUUUUACAUUAGCUAUUUCCCGUUUAAAUUGGUACUAAUACUAAUAUAGUUGUAGAAAGAGUACAUCUUUUUGCCUGGACUUCAAGCAGUUUAGCUUUAACCGUGUUAAUGGUCUCACAUUCUUGGUUUAUAGAGAAUCAAAGUUGAUUUACCAAUGAGUCGCGAAAUGCUAUGGUUCUUCCAUAUGAUUUCUGAAUUUAUUCAGAAGUAAUUCGUCGAGAUCGUGCACCCUUUUCUUAUUUAUCCGAAAAAUACUAAAAAAUAUUAUAAAGUGCAGCCGAAUAGAUCCAAUCUAUUCUUGAAAUAGACAACUCGCACACACUCCCUUUCCAAAAAAAUCAAAACACCAACCACUACAGUUAGAUUUAUUAGAUUUGUUGCUAAAAUAUCGGUAUUAAGCCCGAAACUGCCAGCGGAUGGCCAGUGAGCUAAAAAAUGAAAGAAUGGGUUACAUUUUUCAUAUGCUCUCCUCUUAUAGAUAGGACGAACAAAGAACAAAGUUUUUCGAUCACUUACUUCGCUCGCCCUUUUUUGAUCGGUUUUUUUAAUGCAAAUAGAUUCAAUCUAGUAAUUUCUUUUAGAUUAAGUCUUACGACUUGUUUGACCGGUGAAAGACUUCCUUUGUUGAAAUGUUCUGUUCCCAAAAUUCCUAAAACAAAAGGAAAAAACUUUCCACUUUCCUAAACUAAGGACGGGAAAUAAGAAGGUGAGCAUAUCUUCUAAAUUAAUAAUACUCAACUCAGCCCUUCCUAGAAUGGGG